CUGCCUUGCAAGACCAGGAGAACAUCUGUUGACUGCGUAUUGAUCGAUAGCAGCACUGUAGGAGGACAGGCUUCAUCCAGAGAACCCGGAAUAUAGAACGUGGUACUUGCAAAUCCUCAUCAUAGAUGCAGUCAAAGAGAUUCAAGGAUGUGGAGAGAAACUUCUCACAUCUUGGAUUUGAGCAAGGUGGAGGCAAUCUUUUCGGACCAUGGAGCAGGCAGGGAUCAGACAACAUUUGCCAUGAAAAGAGAAAAAAUUCUAAAAGACCCUCUUCAAAUAUUCAGGGAGAACCACAGAAUGCUGAAGAAAAUCCUUAUCAGGAAUUUUAAUGAGCAAAAUAAAAUAUGAAAUCAGUGUGAUUAAAAUCAAAUCUUCCCCCUUCUGCUUGGCUGGAGCCGGCUGCCAACUCCGAAUGUGGGGAGGCACAGGGAGGCCUUUUGUAUUUAAUUACUGCCAGGGCUUUUUCUCAGUUCAAAGCUCUCUCCCAAGCCCCCACAGGGGUAACGGAGAACUUGAGAGAACAAAUAAGCUCCCUUCUGAGUGAUUUAGAACCCUGGACGACAAACAAUAAACAUUUUGACUCAAUUGGAGAGACCAAGCCAACUUGCCUUAAUUUGUGUCCCUGUUGGGAGCACAGAGAGGGCAUAAAUGAAGUUUGGGGGAAGCUGGGAUGUGGGAGCAUGCCCCACCUUACCAGGACGGCCCCUUAGUGGCCACUCAGUUCUUUAUUUUGUCCCCUCCUUUGUUUUCUCCCAGAAUCUCUUUAUGCAUCUCAAGCCUACAAUACUCUGUGAUACCUGGACUGUGAUAUUCACUUCUCCUGCCUGGUGGCCUAGUGGAUGCCUCAGCCCACU
This is a long non-coding RNA of Gorilla gorilla gorilla (western lowland gorilla), 854 nucleotides long. RefSeq lists it as uncharacterized. The record is from RefSeq and is a predicted model, not a curated record. Lineage: Eukaryota; Metazoa; Chordata; Mammalia; Primates; Hominidae. The transcript has 3 exons.